CUCCCCCUGCGCGCUCUCACCCGGCCCCUGGGUCCUACUGCCCCCCAAUGGGGGGGGGGGCGCUGGGAACCCCCAGCAGAGAGGCCGGGCACCUGACCGAACGACCUGCGCUGCGCGUGGACACUGCGGAGACUCCGGACUUUUCCGGUUCUGGAGGCCACAGUUCCUUCUUUGGCUGUGAAAUGUGGUGCUGUCAUUCGUUGCUUCCUUCCCAUCUGUGCUACAGAUACAGCUGAGAAAAGGACAAAGUCCCUGCCCUCAAGGAUGUACACGAUGAGAAGGAAACAUGCAGGGUGCGACUUCUUCUUGCCACCCUACUCCCUGCCAGUUGACAAACACAGGCACAGAGCUCCUGACCCCAGCCGGGGGCUCCGUCCAUUGUACCAGCUCUUCCGUGGCUCCCACUGGUCCCUGGAGAAAGUCCAAGCCCCUUCUUUGCCCUCGUCACCUUGCAUCAGGAGUGCCAGUUUGCAAAGACAGGUGACACCAGCAGCUGUAAUGGUAGUGAUGCCCACCUCACCCACAGGGCUGACCGCCCUGUCUUCCCAUCUCUGACACUCGGAAAAGGGACCCCUGAAUCCUGACCACCCAACCACACCCCAGCCCUCAUCUACUUCAGCCCAGUGCAGCCUCCUCUGUGUUAUGAAUACAGGAAGCCCUGGCUUGGAUCCUAUCCCAGCUCUGCUACGUUUUAGCCUUGUGCCCGUGAUCUAGAGCCCCCUCUGUAAACUGGCAAUGAUAAUCUCGAAGAUAAUGAGAAGCACAGAUGAAACAAGGACGUGGCGAGCACUCUGAGAACUCCGAAUGACAUUGGGCUCUCCACUCCACACUCUGCUUGCCUCUUCUCGGCCUGGUCCAGUCCUUCCAGGCCACUCCUGCUGUGUCCUCUGAGGGCCAUCCUGUUGGUUUCACUCACACCUGGCCUUGCACACACACAAGAGGAUAGCAAAGCGUUGUGAGUGGCAUGGCGGCUUGCCCGGGGAGGCCCAGGCAGAGGACGGCAGCCCGUAGAGGGGCAGGAGCCCAACCUGGGAGUUGUUAGGAAGUCUGGGUGCUACCUCUCAUUGAGUGAUCUUGGAAAGUCACCUCUCUGUGCCUCACUUUCCUCAUCUGUAACAUGGGGAUAUGAGUAGGAUCUAGAAGGCUCUGAGGGAUUUCAUUUUAAACAGGAAGAAGUGUUCUUGCAGGAGGAGAAAUUGGCACACCCUUUCUAAAUUGUUUUAAUAUUUAUUAAUUUUUGAGAGAGAGAGAGAGAGGCACACCCUUUCUAGAAGGCAGUUUGCAUUGAGAGCUUUAAAGACCUGUUACUAAUUCCCUGCAACAUUGUUUGUAAUAGCAAAAAUUGGAAACAACCUAUCUAUUGGUAGGGAGUAGGAAUACCAAGAAGCUGGAAAAAACAAAAAGUAGGAAGUUCUUUAGGUCCUGAUACUGAUAUGGAAGGGCAAAGUGACGGAUAAUGUGACGGUCCACUGCUGUUAGAUGCACACACAGACCAUCCCUGCAGUUCUAGAUGUCAGAAGACUAAAAUGCGUCCACGGGGCUGUGUAUCUUCUGGGACCUCUAGGCGCAAAUCUGUUUCCUUGCCCUUUGGAGCUUCUGGAAGCCGCCUGCAUGGCUUGACCUGUGGCCCCUUCCUCCAUCUUCAAAGUUGCGUGAAGAAAGCAUGAGUUGGGCAGCCAUUGAGCUCAGAAUGAGAGGCAGGUGGAACAGACCUGAGCCUGAAAGCCUGAAGCAGAGCGUUUCCUGCCACGCCAGCCGACCUGCAGACUGUGAGCAAGACAGAGAGAUACUGUUUAUAAGCCGUCAAGAUUUUUAGUUGUUUGUUACGCAGCAUCAUUAUGGCAGUAGCUGACCAGUGCACCAAGGUAAGAGAAAUCAUCACGAAAAGUCACAUUAGAAGUCACAAUGUGUGAAUCCUCUCGUCGCUAUCCAUGCAGAAUUGCUCAGUAAAACAAAAGUUCAAAAUAUUACAAACAAACAUCAUUGAGACUGAAAAGGCCUGUUUGUGUAUUGAUCAAUAUGGGAGAAGCUGGGAAGAUUGUCUGCCAAGCACCUUUUUUUCCCCCCAAGAAUUGCCUCUGCCCCACCAUCCAUGUUUGCAAACACGGAUACCACAUUCCUUUGCUCUCAACCUCCAUGAUGAAGACUGAGGACCAUGGUCAUUCUAGGCCGAAUGCCUUCUUUCCAAGAAUUUUGCAACUAGGACAGAGAUAGAAAACUCGGUUUCUCUUUGGGUGGGUGGACCAUAAUAUUCAUUUGGGACCUGUUGGAUGGCCCUGUUUUUUGCCUCAUCCAGAGGCGUGACCCUACCCUUGCCCUUAGAAGUUGGGGGACUCCCCCAUAUCCUUUCACUGAAUUCCCCUUUAUGCUGAAACUUGUUCUGUUACAGAAACUGAAUAAGAAGAGAAGUCUGUGGGUUCUGGCAUGGGCUGGGUGCUCAGCAAAGUUUCCUUGAAUUGAGUUAUUAUAGGAAGCCACAGUUAGUAUCACCUUUCCUGGGGUGUUGGCUGGUUGGGGUAUUUCCAAUUUUCUACCCUGAAGAAGGGCACCCAUGAUUGCCUCUUAGGUGCAUGAUGCUCGAGACAGGACCUCAACUGAGUGACUCUCCUGUUUCUUCCCCCAUCCCUGCUGCUCCUGGAGAUAAAAGAUGCCCUUCCGUUCUCCGCACAAGAGAAAGGCAUGGUGAAAAAGAACACCAGAUUAUCUUUACCCCGGAUUUACCCCUUCCUAGCUGUGUGACUGUGGGCGUGCUACUUAACCUCCAUGUUGGUUUUCUCACGUCGAUAAGUGACAACCAUAACAGUCUACCCUCUAGGGCUGUGAUGAGGCUUAAGAGCAAAAUGCUUGUCAACAAGCAAAAACAACCUGAUUCAAAAACAAGCAAAGAACUGGAGUAGACAUUUCUUCAAAGAAGAUAAACAGAUGACCAAUAAGCACAUGAAAAGAUGCUUAACAUCACUAACCAUUAGAGAA
Molecule: long non-coding RNA, 2973 nt
Organism: Felis catus (domestic cat)
Lineage: Eukaryota; Metazoa; Chordata; Mammalia; Carnivora; Felidae
Exons: 7
Source: RefSeq, a predicted model, not a curated record